UCACAGAAACUUCCGGCUUUGAUCACGCAUCAUGAACUAUAAACAAUCAAGUCAGAUAUGAUUAUUCGUUUGAUUUUUAUACUUGAUUUAUAUGUGAAUCCCACAUUUCUCCCUUAUUUUUUUUUUUUAAUAAAAUGCUGAAGUGGUAGGUAGAUGCAAGAUAAAGGUAGAAAACACAAUUUAGUGCUGUAAGAGGGCAAAUGUAGAUGAUCAGGUCUGUGCCUAUAGACUAAAUAUUAAUCCAAGCUUGUCUGGAGAUAUUUUUGAUUGCCCCAGCUGGAGAGACUGCAAAACAUCCCACCAUGCACAGGACUUGCCCCCACACCCAAUUAUCUGGCUCCAAAAGUCAGUAGCGCCAAGGCUGAGAAACCAUAAUCGAAAAGAAAAAAAAAAGUACUGUAAUAAUAGAAGCUUUCUCCCCCAAAAGUAUGUUCUUGCCCCAGUGUUCUUGGCCAGAUUUUUACUUUUAUUGAAGACAUAAUAAGAAAUAAGCAAUUUGAUUAUUUCAGAAGUUUGGAAAUUCCUGGUAUUUUUAAAGUCCAUUAUGAAAUCCCCAAUCUAAAGAGGUAGGAAGUAAGACUUUUCUUUGUAUAUUUGUAUCACAUAAAAACAAGUUUUUAAAAGAGUUCCAACCUUUAUUUUUUAAUUGCACCUCCAAUAUGAAAGCAUUAGAAUAACUCACUGCUGCACUGUUGGUAGUAAGACUGAAAACACCAUAAAUGCCCAUCAUUAGGUGACUAGUUCUGUAAAUUACAGUAUAUUCAUAUAAAGGAUAUCCUCAAGUUUUGAAAAUAAUAAGGGAGAUCUGAACGUGCUGGUAUAGGGCAAUCUUAUAGAUCAAUUAAGCUUAAGUAAAUAAACUCUGAAACAAUAUGCAGCUUACUCAAAAGAAAAAUAUAAGAUACAUAUAUGUAUACACAUAUGUAUAUAUUCAUAUACCUCACAGAUUAUUGCUAGGAAUUCACACAAGAAACUGGCAAGAGUAAGUGCCUCUAGGAAGAGCCCAGAGCAGGAAGGGACCUUUACUGGUAUUGUCUGAAUUUUUUUUUCAACAUGGGUUUAUGCUGGCUUAUUUACUGACUGUAAAACUUAAAUCACAAAUCCUGAGGCUGAGUAUUUUCCAACUUGAAAGGAUGAAAAUAACAGCCUACCUCAUUGGUUAUUGUGAAGAUCAAAUGACAGAGCAUAAUAUGCAUUGUAAAUUAUAAAGCAGCAUACAAAAUUAAAAAUUAGUCCUCUGACAAUUUUCCAAACCAAUUAUAAUAAUUAUUAUCAUUCUUCUAACCAAUUUCUCUAAACCCAAAGAUGCGACUGUUUAAAAUGAAAUGCUAAGUGAAGAUACAAUCUUAGAACACAGAUUUUGAUUUUACAGUUAUUGAUUUUCUAUUUAAAAGAGUAAAUUUUCAAAAAAAGUUGUCAUUUAAAAAUGGCAAAUCAGCUGAUUACAGAAGAAAAACAUGCUCGGUGUUGAAAAGAAGACAAAUAAAAACUAUAACCGUGCUAUUAUAAAAUCUUGGUAUUUUUCUCUUCAGUCUUUUUUCUAUGCAUGCUAAUUGGGUUAGAUCAUUCGUCUAAAAAUGUUUCCUCUUUACUAUAACACAGCAUUCAAGUUACAACAUCCCUCAGAUUAUUAUAAACUCCUUUAUAAAUAUAAUUUUUAAUGAAGGCAUAACAUUUUAUCUUGUUGAUAAGUAUUCAACCACUUUCAAAUGAAAUUCCAGUGUAUGGAUUUGCCUAAUGAACUAUGCCUGAAUUAACUUUUUAUUCAUUUCUACCAGUUCUCCAAGUAACCAUCCAUCUCCUCCCUUCCCUCUCACUCCCCCCAUUUUCCUGCUUUUGGUUUCCAGAGUUCCAAUUUUAUUAUGUGCAAAACUUGCUAAACAAAGAAACAUUUGUGUUUAUAGUUUCUUGAAGAGCAAGUCAAAUACCUUAGAUUGAGCCCUUAAAUCAGACUAUUAGUGAGAGUGGAGAUUAGAACUAUGAUUCACUACUAAAUAAAGAUGCUCACUCUUUCUCUACAUGUUAGUCUGUUACUAACAUUAUGUCUGCAAAUAGAGUGAAAACAAAGGAAUGCACUCAGGUUAUUCCUGGAAGGCUCUUUAUUGGACAAACCCAACUGUUCCUAAUUAAUUUUAACUAUGACAACUCCUCCGAAAUGCUGAACAUUCCAAGUCAUUUUUGAGAACAGUUAGGUAUCACUCUAGGAAGUACAAUUUCCUGAGUAUACUGUACAGUAACUGCAGGCAAAAAAAAAAAAUCAUUAUUGUGCCCUUCCCACAGUAAGAACUCAAAUAAUAUGUCAUGUUGAAUGAAUACCCCUUUUCUGCUUCUGAGAACAUGUUGUAAUUUUCAUACUCUACCUUGUAUUUACUGUUUAAAUCAGAGUACAAGGGGAUGCAUUAUUGACACACACUGUAUACCUUUUUUUUAAAUGAAUUGAAAACAAGCACCAGAAACUAUGAAAUUAUAGAUUUUUUCCUCUAAUUUCUAGAUUUUCUGUAAUGCUAUUACAUGACCCUUGCAAUUAAAAAGAGCAUUAAAAGUAUUCUUAUAGCAUUUAUUGUUAAAGACCAUAUACUAAGAUUUUUUUAAUUAAGUCCCAUUCUAAGGGCAUUUUUAUUAUUAAAAAAAAGAACCCUUGCUAAAUUAAAAGAAGAAAACUUCAGCAUAAAGCUGAACUGCUAGAAAUUAUUUAAAAUACUCAUAUCAUGCCAUAUUUCAACAAAAUAAAAUUUUCAUCAUCAUCAAGAGCACUACUUGUUCACCCACAAUUAUAUUGUCAAGAUACAAUGAAAGGCACUGGAGAUUCAGAGACAAAAGACACAGAUUCCAUCCGCCAGAACUUUACUACCUAAUUAGGGUAUAUCUGAAAAAGAAAAUAAAACACAUAAAGGGGCAUUGGAUAUCCAAGCAUCUAGUACACAAGAGAACUGUAGUGAAAUAGCUUGUGACGUCCUACAGAUCUUGGUUCAAAUCUUAGAUCUACCACUUACUAGCUGAUGGAAAUUACUUCCCUAGUUUGCAAAAUGAAGUGUUAGAUUGGGUGAGGUAAAAUUCACAGUACACCCAAAGGGAAGCUAAUGUAUUAUUGUUAUUAUUAGGGAUACAGGCUUGAGGAAGAAACAGACAAUUGGAAAAGCUUAAAAAGAGAAAGUAUUAUACCUUUUUUGUAAUCCACCAUAUGCAAAAAUCACAAGAUAUUUCUCACUCAAGUUUUACUUCAUAUUGCUAAGAAAGUAGAACAUCUAGUGAAGACAAUGGAAAUUAGAGCACACUAAGGCUACACAGCCCUAAAGUACCCUGGGAAAGUCAGCACUAGAUCUACAAAUCAUAGAAUAUGACCUCUAAAAAGAGAAUGCUGGCUGGAGAGGUCCUGAGGUCAGCUAAUUCAAACUCCCCUACUAGAAUACAAGCUCCAUGUUUUGUUUGUCUCCAAGCUCUAAGAGUCACUCAUUUUGUUUAUUAGUAUAUCCUCAGUACCUAGAAUAAUUCCUAGCACAUAGUGAACGCCCAACAAAUAUUUGUUGAAUGAAUAUUUAAGUUUAGAAAACUGAGGCCUGGAGACCUAACUCACUGCCAUACAGUUAGCUCUUGGCAGAGCUGGGCCUGGAACGAACAUUUCAUUAGCCUAGUAUUCUAUUCUCUCUAGACAUUAGAAUAUGAUAAUUUAGAUAAUUUAUCUUGGUGGUUGAGGAGAUGGAGUGCUGGCUGGCAGGCAGAGGAAGGAAGGAGUAAAUUAAAACAGUUUUCACAUUUUUCCCCCAAACUGUCAGUUUUGCUUAACUGAUAAAGGCAAAAAAUUAUAAACAAGACAAUCCAGCACACUCCCAGCACACAACUGGUACUUAACAAGUAUUUGCUGAAUGAAUGAAUCUACACACAAACCCUUAUCUCAUGACCGGAGGCAGAAACUAACUUCAGCAUCUGCUUAUCUUUGUAACUGUCAUAGAGCCCUUUAGAAUCUUCAGUCAUUCAUAAGACAGUUAUUAAUCACUUUCCUCCAGAUGAGCACUGAGGAAGAGAGGUAGAUUAAAAGAUGUCCCUGCCCUGGAGGAGCUCUCACUUGAGUAUGCCUAUGCCUAAAUGUGUGCGUUUUGGGGGUGGGGGUGAGGAGUGAGGGUGACAUGAACAUCCAUAAUGAAUGUGAAACCAGGUUGCACUGUUAUCUCAGUUUGCCUCAAGCAGUUAGCAAGUUAAAUUAAAGAAACACAAAUUAGCAAAGUUUUAAAAUAACAUGGAGAUAUAUUAUGGUAUAUUAACACUUGGUAAGAUACUUUUUCCUGUGUCUUUACAAAAAUUUUACUUCCUCUUAAUGUCUUAAAAUCAAAAUAUUCUAAAUUGAAUAAUCAACAUAAAUGAACCAUCCAUGUAUGUUCUCUCAUAUGAGACACUGAAGGAUAAUACUCCUGAUUCAGUAUUUACUGCGUACAUGUUAAUAUAUAUAACCACAAGUACAUAAAUUAUUUCACUGUCUAUAGAACUGGCAAAACCUGAAGAAAAUGCCCAAAGAUGAAUGCUAGUAAACAGAAACAACAAACAGUAUUUCACAGGGAGAGAAUGAAAUACACACAUAACUAAGAAGGUCUACAGAAGACUUCAAAGGAACAAAAAUCUUCAAGGUGGUCAAACUCGUGCCCCAACUGGCCAACAGAGCAGAAGAACAACAGCCUGCCUACAGGAUAAUGUUUAAUGCAGAUCACUAACUAGGCUCAUAUUAAAGUGAACACCCAAAAGUCAAUGUUGCCAUUCCUCUAAUUUGAGUUUCAGGAGGACCCUCACAAAGAUUCACCAUCAAGACUAAACCAUCACAUUCCAAGGAUUCUUCACGGUUAUCUAUCUGUCAAAUUAGGGAAGUAAACUGGGAAAUAAACAGAUUUCACUUUUAUGAGACUGAUACUUCCUGUGAACUAAAGUUAGUUUACAUGGGGCACAUGUUUAUAUGUGACUCCUGGUUUCUGCGGAAAAUAUUUUUUGGUCUAUCUUAGAGUGCUGGUGAAACACCUCAAAGCCUCUUGACCCCAACACAGAAAAAAUCUAUCGCUGAGUGUAUGCCCCAACCCAGGGUUAAAGCCUUGUUAAGUACUGGAGAACCCAGGCCAAGGAAACCACAAAGUGGCAGGGAACUACAAAGGCAGGCAGAAAGGCUGCCGAUGGGCCCCAGCGGGGAAAUACAUUAGCCACCGGCUUUGGACAGAACUGGCUGAGACGGUGAGGUUGGGGUGAGUUUUGGUCAGAGAAGCGAAAAGGGACUGACAGGUGCUUGUCAACCUGGACAACAUGGGAAGAUUAUAAUUGGUUUUCUUUACCGAAGGGCUGGUACAAGGCUCCCUAACAGUUUUCUGGUAAGCACAAGGACUGGGCUCUGAAGGAAAUAGAAAAGCAAGAGAAAAGACCCUGAGAACAGAUUUCGGUGAAGACGGCCCCGAGACGAGUAAUCUCUAUAGUAGUUCCCAGCACCAAGACAGCUGCAACUAUCACUCCCGUUAAAGGAUGUCUCCCUGUUAUCCGCUGGCAGAGCGAUUGAGAGCCCACACGGUGGGAAUGGAAGCAAACUUGGGCAGGUUAAGACUGAAUCGGGGGUCUGACCCAGAAAGAAACUUAAUCAGGACGGUAAAAGGCUGAGUUCUAGAAUGCGCUAGCAGAGUUAAGGACUUGGGUAGGAUGAGAUUUCUUUGGGAAAGGUGUCUGGAGUAAACUGCUGUGGAAGGGAGGGUUUUCGUUGGACUCAGUGGGAAAAUGACGGUUUAGAGAGGAGACUGGCUUUUAGGGGGUCCUGAGCGUCUGGCUCAGGAAGGUCACUCUAACUGGGGGAAGCGCGCUACUCGGGGGUGAGGCUGAUCCGCACGAGCUCAACAGGAGCUCACCUGGGGUACACAUGGCCUGGAGAAGCAAACUCCUGGGUGGGUGAAAGCUAAGCGGAGCGGGAGGGCCGGGCACCCGCAGACCCGGCCGGGAACACGGUCCACUCCGCUGCGGGCGCAGGGGCCAGCGGUCAGGGGGUCGCGCGGGGCGGGGCCGGGGGUGCCGACCGAGCCGGGGCGGGGCUGCUGCGGCCGUGGCGGAGCUACCAGCUCGGGAUGGCGCCCUCCCUUAGUCACACACACUCGCUCUUGCUCUCACCAUCGGCCGCCCAGUCCGGGACGGAGAGAAACCGGCCGGGAUCAGCCCCGCCCACCCGGCGCAGGCAGAGGCGGUGCCCAAAUACUGGCUACGGAUUUACGCUGCCGGACAGGAGCCUGCCCCCGGGGCCGCCUGGGAAAAUCCGGAGCGGAUAUAAAAUUAAAGCGGACGGGACUCCAGUUUAUCCAGCUUAAACUUUACGCAGGUCUUCACAUCAAACUUUUGACCAUCACCCACAAGGAGGCCAGGUCUUUCCA
Long non-coding RNA from Manis pentadactyla (Chinese pangolin), 6377 nucleotides. RefSeq lists it as uncharacterized. The transcript is spliced from 3 exons. The record is from RefSeq and is a predicted model, not a curated record. NCBI's taxonomy places the organism in Eukaryota, Metazoa, Chordata, Mammalia, Pholidota, Manidae.